This 427-nucleotide ribosomal RNA is filed under the name uncultured bacterium. Its description in RNAcentral is "bacterial SSU rRNA". It matches the Rfam family "Bacterial small subunit ribosomal RNA", at positions 355 to 776 of the family's 1533-position model. The record is from RNAcentral.
UCGGGAAUUUUGGGCAAUGGGCGGAAGCCUGACCCAGCAACGCCGCGUGAAGGAUGAAAUCCCUCGGGAUGUAAACUUCGCAAGAACGGGAAGAAUAAGCCGGUGUCAACACCACCGGUGAUGACGGUACUGUUUGUAAGCUCCGGCUAACUCCGUGCCAGCAGCCGCGGUAAUACGGGGGGAGCAAGCGUUGUUCGGAUUUACUGGGCGUAAAGGGCGCGUAGGCGGCCUCUGCAAGUCGACUGUGAAAUCUCCGGGCUUAACCCGGAACGGUCAGCCGAUACUGCAGGGCUAGAGUGCAGAAGGGGCAACUGGAAUUCUCGGUGUAGCGGUGAAAUGCGUAGAUAUCGAGAGGAACACCUGCGGCGAAGGCGGGUUGCUGGGCUGACACUGACGCUGAGGCGCGAAAGCUAGGGGAGCGAACGGG